This 72-nucleotide transfer RNA is filed under the name Uronema confervicola. Its description in RNAcentral is "tRNA-Gln". It matches the Rfam family "tRNA". From Rfam's summary of the family: Transfer RNA (tRNA) molecules are approximately 80 nucleotides in length. RNAcentral also lists the same sequence under 2 other names. Lineage: Eukaryota; Viridiplantae; Chlorophyta; Chlorophyceae; Chaetophorales; Uronemataceae. The record is from RNAcentral.
UGGGGCGUCGCCAAGUGGUAAGGCAGCGGGUUUUGGUUCCGCCAUUCGUAGGUUCGAGUCCUUCCGCCCCAG